RNAcentral lists this ribosomal RNA (429 nucleotides) under uncultured bacterium. RNAcentral's name for it is "bacterial SSU rRNA". It matches the Rfam family "Bacterial small subunit ribosomal RNA", at positions 355 to 776 of the family's 1533-position model. The record is from RNAcentral.
UGAGGAAUAUUGCGCAAUGGGCGAAAGCCUGACGCAGCGACGCCGCGUGAAGGAUGAAGGUCUUCGGAUUGUAAACUUCUGUUAAGUGGGAAGAAAGACCUUUUGUUAAUAGCAGAAGGGGAUGACAGUACCAUUAGAGAAAGCACCGGCUAACUUCGUGCCAGCAGCCGCGGUAAUACGAGGGGUGCAAACGUUAUUCGGAAUCAUUGGGCGUAAAGGGUGUGUAGGCGGCGCGUUAAGUCUGUUGUUAAAUUUCUCGGCCUAACCGGGGUACAGCGACAGAUACUGGCGUGCUAGAGGAUGGAAGAGAGAGGUGGAAUUCUCGGAGUAGCGGUUAAAUGCGUAGAUCUCGAGAGGAACACCGAUGGCGAAGGCAGCCUCUUGGUCCAAUCCUGACGCUGAGACACGAAAGCGUGGGUAGCAAACAGG